Long non-coding RNA from Branchiostoma floridae (Florida lancelet), 1010 nucleotides. RefSeq lists it as uncharacterized. Lineage: Eukaryota; Metazoa; Chordata; Leptocardii; Amphioxiformes; Branchiostomatidae. The record is from RefSeq and is a predicted model, not a curated record. The transcript is spliced from 3 exons.
AUGACGAGUGCGCCUCACCCGAGGACAACACCUGCUCACCUUUCGCCACGUGCCACAACACUGUCGGCUCCUUCACGUGCGCAUGUCUGGACGGGUUCGAGGAUCGUUCGGCCGACUAUGAAGACCCUCCUGGCCAUGUAUGCAAAGAAGUCGUGAUGCCCCCCUCCCCAGCGGUGUGGUCUGUACUGGCUGUUGGCCUCGGUCUGGUGGCUGCAGUUCUCAUGAUUCUCGCAUGGCGCAUCCGUUUGGGCCGUGCAGAAAAACCGAAAGACGUGGAAGGGUUCAAGAGCGUCAGCGCAGCUACUACAAGGCUGAUGACUCCCAACACUGCUGAAGUGGUUACUGAAGAGGCCUGAUGAUGGUGAUGAUGACCAGGAACGGACAGACAAUCCAUCUGGAAUAUACAUUCAUUAAUUACAUGUACCUGCUUGUAGAAGAAAUAUUAUGAUGCUCUCUAUCACUUUCCCUUAUCUCCAAAGAGUAUUAGGCAUGUCAGAAAUUUAUUGUAAGUAGGUUAUAUCCACAUUUUGAUAUAGAAAGGAGGUAUAAAUGAUAGUGAUAACAACAUAGAAUAUAUGAUAAAGAAUAUAAUAUAUCAUAAUAUAUACUCUCUUCAUCCCUUCUGUAGUUUUAAUCAAAAUCUAAAAGUCUAUGUAUACCGAUAUUAUAAAUAGAAUAUCAUGACCGGAAUAGCCAUACUAUUCAACUACGAACUGAGCAGAACAUAUUAUAUAUUAUUAUAUUAUUCGAAUGAAUAUCGUAAAAACGAAGCAAAUCAUACCCCGGGGCGGACUUAAUUAGCCAUCAAAAUUGAUAAUUCUGCGAUACUGUUUGCUAAAAGUCAUAUUUUGCCCUUAAAUAAACUUAAAUUCUGAUGUACAUUUUAUUGAACUAAACUUGAACUAAAAUUAUAAUUUGAAACUUGAGAUUAUUUACGAAUUUAUUUUAGACACCUUUCAUCCUUUUUAUCUCAUUGCUUUAGAUGUAUUCACUGCAAUAAAUUUGGCAUC